GAUGAACGCUGGCGGCGUGCUUAACACAUGCCAGUCGAACGAAGCACUUUAUUUGAUUUCCUUCGGGACUGAUUAUUUUGUGACUGAGUGGCGGACGGGUGAGUAACGCGUGGGUAACCUGCCUUGUACAGGGGGAUAACAGUUGGAAACGGCUGCUAAUACCGCAUAAGCGCACAGCAUCGCAUGAUGCAGUGUGAAAAACUCCGGUGGUAUAAGAUGGACCCGCGUUGGAUUAGCUAGUUGGUGAGGUAACGGCCCACCAAGGCGACGAUCCAUAGCCGACAUGUGAGAGUGACCGGCGACAUCGGGACUGAGCCACAGCCCAAACUCCUACGGGAGGCAGCAGUGGGGAAUAUUGCAAAAUGGGCGAAGGCAUGAUGCAGCGACGCCGCGUGAGCGAAGAAGUAUUUCGGUAUGUAAAGCGCUAUCAGCAGGGAAGAUAAUGACGGUACCUGACUAAGAAGCACCGGCUAAAUACGUG
Molecule: ribosomal RNA, 481 nt
Filed under: uncultured bacterium
Lineage: Bacteria
Description: partial 16S ribosomal RNA
Rfam family: Bacterial small subunit ribosomal RNA
Source: RNAcentral